GAGAACUUGAUCCGCAGCCUCUCUGUGCAUCAGGUGCCCUGCUAACGUCGCCGAGAGCAUCCCAUGCGUGUCAUCAGCCACACCCCAGCCGCCGUUAGGCCUUUAUGUGCGUGACUGACUGCGGGACGUCUAUUUCCACUGGGACUGGCGCCUCCCGAGGGCAGGCCCCCUUUCUGUUUUGUUCACCCCUGCACGGAGCUCACGGAGCCCCAAACCAUUCUCCUCUGUGUUCGUUAAGCUCGGUCUCCUGCGGAUGGUAAGCUCCACGCGGAAGGCGUUGCGACAGCCCAGGCCACACCGUCCCCAGCAUUAGCAUGGCGCCUGAAAGCUCACGGCGGGCGGGGGGAUGAGCUUGUGUGAACCGAUACGGAAAGAUGCCUGAGACAUCGCUGAAAGGGGAGAGAGCAGAUUACAAACCCCACACACAGCACGACCUAGUUUCAAAACUACCACCCCGUACGUCGCUCUCUGCAUGUUUAGGACCUCAAAGGUCCCAUCCCAGACCGUGCAGGGGGGCUGCCUUGGGUCGGGAGACACGAAGGGCGGGAUUAUACGGUGCUUCUGUUUUUAAGGCACGUUUCUAGAAUCUAUUUCAGUGAGAAUAUAUUACCAGGGUCUUUGGGGAGAAAAAAAAGAUGUGAAGGUGAGCGCAAGGGUGUAUCUGUGGGCGCGCACGAAUGACACGUGAGCUCGCCGUUCACACCAUCUGGGGUGGGUGCUGGGAUGCGCCUCCUGGUCCCCCGCAGGGCGGAAGGGCUGUCCCCACCUGCUGACGAUCUGAGGCACUCAUACUUGUAAAGAACUCAGCACAAAGAUGUUAAGAAGGGACCUCCAAGUUAGCAAGAGGGUUUGCUGCUAACGGUGGGAGCCCACGUCAAAACUCCCCGCACGCACAGAGAAGCUGCAUUUUUAACCGACUCCCCGGGGGAUGCCACUGGUCUGGGAAGCCCGCCUUGAGAACCACCGUUUCGGACCAAAAUCUCGGCAGGAGAUGCCAAAUGAUCAAAGGAAUCUUUAACAUCAGCCAAGCCCAUCUAGGAAAAGCAAAUGCCACGCUUCUCGUGAGUCAUCCUGAGCCAGCCUCGCUGCAAAGCUCAGGCCACCUCCGUUAUUCAUUCGUCAAACCAUUUCCGGUAGGGGCAGGGCCAGCUGGUCCUGGCGACAGCUUCUGGCCAAAACGUGCUCAGAAACAAAAGCCCGUGGGCUCCCCUCCAGGAGGAAUGUUCCAGACUCAAAGAGUACCCGGACAGAGAGUCUAUCUGUGGGAUUAAAUCUCAUGGGGACUGAUCAGGAACGAAAGAAAUGCCCGAAAAGGCUCUUCGGGAAGGUCUUGUGAAUGACCCUGCAUCCCUCCAAAAGACGCGUCGACGCCCUAACCCCUCAGUGUCUGCGAACGUGGUCUUGUUUGGAAACAGGGUCUCGGGGGGUGGAACCAAGUUAAGAUGAGGUCGUUCGCGUGUGUCCAGAUCCGAUAAGACGGGUGGUCCUUGGACGAAGGGGACAGGGCCACGUGAAGACGUGUCCGUGAGCCAAGGAGCUCACGGCAUGACUGGUCACAGUUGGAGGGGAGGGGACCAGGGCGCUGCCCACACCUUCCUUUCAGACCUCCAGCUUCGGGAACCGUGACAGAGUAAAUUCCUGCUGUUUCAGGCACUCAGGUGGCAGUCCUUUAUUUCAGCCACUGCGGGGAAGCUAGCAAGGGCGUGACAGUGGAGAAAUGGUUCAGAACCACUGACCUCGACCCUGAGACGGGUUUGAGGACGGACAUGAUAAACACAGAGCGCCGAGCACCGAGCCUGCCACACGGUCACGGGAGGCACUUCAUACAUGUCAGCUGUCACCAGGCUCCCCUACUGGUUCCCGCCCACGGAAGAGUAAAUCGUGACCCGUAAAGGAGAGGGGGUUCUGGAACAUCGGUCCUCUCUGGGCUGCACGGGAGGCAGGCGGCGGGAGCAGGGGUGGAGACCCCACACCGGGGUUCUCUCCUGCUGGGACAGUCGGGCCACUGUCCCCGUCCCGGACGGCAGCCUGCGGUUGAACAGGGCCAGCUGGGGCCCUCUCGGAAGAGGCAGUAAGGUCUAGUCGGUAUGACUGUCAUCCUGGAAAGAAUUUUCUUCCCUGAGUGUAACAGUUUCUUAACAUAGCUUGUUUACAGUUAUAGGGACUUUCUGUUUUAAGUUUAUUUAUUUUGAGAGAGAGACAGACACAGAGACAGUAGGGGAGAGGGAGA
Long non-coding RNA from Acinonyx jubatus (cheetah), 2230 nucleotides. RefSeq lists it as uncharacterized. NCBI's taxonomy places the organism in Eukaryota, Metazoa, Chordata, Mammalia, Carnivora, Felidae. The record is from RefSeq and is a predicted model, not a curated record. The transcript is spliced from 5 exons.